CACUGCUAUCGGGGUUCGAUUAAGCCAUGCGAGUCGAGAGGGUUCAGACCCUCGGCGCACUGCUCAGUAACACGUGGAUAACCUACCCUGAGGAGGGGGAUAACCCCGGGAAACUGGGGAUAAUACCUCAUAGGUUUCAGAUGCUGGAAUGCUCUGAAACCGAAAUGCUCCGGCGCCUCAGGAUGGAUCUGCGGCCGAUUAGGUUGUUGUUGGGGUAACGGCCCAACAAGCCCGUCAUCGGUACGGGUUGUGAGAGCAAGAGCCCGGAGAUGGAUUCUGAGACACCAAUCCAGGCCCUACGGGGCGCAGCAGGCGCGAAACCUUUACAAUGCGAGCAAUCGUGAUAAGGGAACCCCGAGUGCCUGAAACCAGGCUGUUCAGGUGUUUAAAAAGCACCUGGAGAAAGGGCCGGGCAAGACCGGUGCCAGCCGCCGCGGUAAUACCGGCGGCUCGAGUGGUGGCCGCUAUUAUUGGGCUUAAAGCGUUCGUAGCUGGGUUGUUAAGUCUCUUGGGAAAUCUCACGGCUCAACCGUGAGGCGACUAAGAGAUACUGGCAAUC
This 559-nucleotide ribosomal RNA is filed under the name uncultured archaeon. RNAcentral describes it as "bacterial SSU rRNA". It matches the Rfam family "Archaeal small subunit ribosomal RNA", at positions 25 to 592 of the family's 1478-position model. The record is from RNAcentral.